UGCUUGCACCUGAUGACGAGUGGCGCACGGGUGCGGAACGCGUAUGGAACCUGCCCCUGUCAGGGGAAUAGCCCAUGGAAACGUGGAUUAAUGCCCCAUGGUAUCCCGACCCUGCAUGGGCGUCGGGAUUAAAGAUUUAUCGGACAGGGAUGGCCAUGCGUACCAUUAGCCAGUUGGUAGGGUAACGGCCUACCAAGGCAGCGAUGGUUAGGGGCCCUGAGAGGGGGAUCCCCCACACUGGUACUGAGACACGGACCAGACUCCUACGGGAGGCAGCAGUGAGGAAUAUUGGACAAUGGUGGGAACACUGAUCCAGCCAUGCCGCGUGCAGGAUGACGGCCCUAUGGGUUGUAAACUGCUUUUGUACGGGAAGAAACCCGGGUACGAGUACCUGGUUGACGGUACCGUAAGAAUAAGGACCGGCUAACUCCGUGCCAGCAGCCGCGGUAAUACGGAGGGUCCGAGCGUUAUCCGGAAUCAUUGGGUUUAAAGGGUCCGUAGGCGGGCCUGUAAGUCAGAGGUGAAAGGCCACGGCUCAACCGUGGGACUGCCUUUGAUACUGCAGGUCUUGAGUCAUGGUGGGGUUGCCGGAACAUGUGGUGUAGCGGUGAAAUGCAUAGAUAUCACAUAGAACACCGAUCGCGAAGGCAGGUGGCCAACCAUGAACUGACGCUGAUGGACGAAAGCGUGGGUAGCGAACGGGAUUAGAUACCCCGGUAGUCCACGCCGUAAACGAUGGACACUAGCUGUGGGGACUUCCGUCUCCGUGGCCAAGCGAAAGUGAUAAGUGUCCCACCUGGGGAGUACGUUCGCAAGAAUGAAACUCAAAGGAAUUGACGGGGGCCCGCACAAGCGGUGGAGCAUGUGGUUUAAUUCGAUGAUACGCGAAGAACCUUACCAGGGCUUAAAUGCAGUCUGCAUAGG
RNAcentral lists this ribosomal RNA (924 nucleotides) under uncultured bacterium. RNAcentral describes it as "bacterial SSU rRNA". It matches the Rfam family "Bacterial small subunit ribosomal RNA", at positions 77 to 999 of the family's 1533-position model. The record is from RNAcentral.